Long non-coding RNA from Cygnus olor (mute swan), 309 nucleotides. RefSeq lists it as uncharacterized. NCBI's taxonomy places the organism in Eukaryota, Metazoa, Chordata, Aves, Anseriformes, Anatidae. The record is from RefSeq and is a predicted model, not a curated record. The transcript is spliced from 3 exons.
CACAGCUGUAGCCCUGCAGCAAUCAGGGAUAGAGCCAGUAAAGUGGGCAGAGGGCACCAAGGCCUGGUUUGGAGGGUGCCUGAGGGUUAGGGGUCUCUGAGUGUCUGUGUGGAGUGCGGCUUUGGCUGCCUCUAUGCCACUCUGGUUGCUGCUUGAGCUCCUAGUGAACGUGAUUGCCUCUGUCCUGGCCCCAGAAGGAGUCCCAGCGAAUGCUGACAGAGUGCCAAUGCCAAAGACAAAUGCCAUGUGAAAUGUUCUGACCACGUGAAGAAACAAAUUUAGACUUUAUUCAAGAAAUAAAUGUAAGUU